RNAcentral lists this ribosomal RNA (700 nucleotides) under Mycobacteroides immunogenum. RNAcentral's name for it is "bacterial SSU rRNA". It matches the Rfam family "Bacterial small subunit ribosomal RNA", at positions 89 to 803 of the family's 1533-position model. The record is from RNAcentral. Lineage: Bacteria; Bacillati; Actinomycetota; Actinomycetes; Mycobacteriales; Mycobacteriaceae.
ACUCGAGUGGCGAACGGGUGAGUAACACGUGGGUGAUCUGCCCUGCACUCUGGGAUAAGCCUGGGAAACUGGGUCUAAUACCGGAUAGGACCGCAUGCUUCAUGGUGUGUGGUGCAAAGCUUUUGCGGUGUGGGAUGAGCCCGCGGCCUAUCAGCUUGUUGGUGGGGUAAUGGCCUACCAAGGCGACAACGGGUAGCCGGCCUGAGAGGGUGACCGGCCACACUGGGACUGANAUACGGCCCAAACUCCUACGGGAGGCAGCAGUGGGGAAUAUUGCACAAUGGGCGCAAGCCUGAUGCAGCGACGCCGCGUGAGGGAUGACGGCCUUCGGGUUGUAAACCUCUUUCAGUAGGGACGAAGCGAAAGUGACGGUACCUACAGAAGAAGGACCGGCCAACUACGUGCCAGCAGCCGCGGUAAUACGUAGGGUCCGAGCGUUGUCCGGAAUUACUGGGCGUAAAGAGCUCGUAGGUGGUUUGUCGCGUUGUUCGUGAAAACUCACAGCUUAACUGUGGGCGUGCGGGCGAUACGGGCAGACUAGAGUACUGCAGGGGAGACUGGAAUUCCUGGUGUAGCGGUGGAAUGCGCAGAUAUCAGGAGGAACACCGGUGGCGAAGGCGGGUCUCUGGGCAGUAACUGACGCUGAGGAGCGAAAGCGUGGGUAGCGAACAGGAUUAGAUACCCUGGUAGUCCACGCCGU